GACGAAAGCUGGCGGCGUGCUUAACACAUGCAAGUCGAGCGGAGCGGCGAACGGGUGAGUAACGCGUGAGUAACUGCCCCCCUCUCUGGGAUAACAGUAGGAAACGGCUGCUAAUACCGGAUAGUGGGGGAUGACUCGCGUCCUAUCAGCUUGUUGGUGGGGUAGUUGCCUACCAAGGCAACGAAGGGUAGCCGGCCUGAGAGGUCGACCGGCCACAUUGGGCUGAGAUACGGCCUAAACUCCUACGGGAGGCAGCAGUGGUGAAUAGUGCACAAUGGGGGAAACCCUGAUGCAGCAACGCCGCGUGCGGGAUGACGGCCUUCGGGUGGUAAACCGCUUUCAGCCAAGACGCGGUAGUGGCAGAAGAAGCACCGGCUAACUCCGUGCCAGCAGCCGCGGUAAUUC
RNAcentral lists this ribosomal RNA (405 nucleotides) under uncultured bacterium. Its description in RNAcentral is "partial 16S ribosomal RNA". It matches the Rfam family "Bacterial small subunit ribosomal RNA", at positions 28 to 526 of the family's 1533-position model. The record is from RNAcentral.